GAGUUUGAUCCUGGCUCAGGAUGAACGCUGGCGGCGUGCCUAACACAUGCAAGUCGAACGAAGCACUUUUUUACAAUCCCUUCGGGGUGACGAAUUUGUGACUGAGUGGCGGACGGGUGAGUAACGCGUGGGAAACCUGCCUUGUACCGGGGGAUAGCAGUUGGAAACGACUGAUAAUACCGCAUAAGCGCACAGUAUCACAUGAUACAGUGUGAAAAACUCCGGUGGUACAAGAUGGUCCCGCGUCUGAUUAGCUUGUUGGCGGGGUAAUGGCCCACCAAGGCGACGAUCAGUAGCCGACCUGAGAGGGUGACCGGCCACAUUGGGACUGAGACACGGCCCAAACUCCUACGGGAGGCAGCAGUGGGGAAUAUUGCACAAUGGAGGAAACUCUGAUGCAGCGACGCCGCGUGAGCGAUGAAGUAUUUCGGUAUGUAAAGCUCUAUCAGCAGGGAAGAUAAUGACGGUACCUGAGUAAGAAGCUCCGGCUAAAUACGUGCCAGCAGCCGCGGUAAUACGUAUGGAGCAAGCGUUAUCCGGAUUUACUGGGUGUAAAGGGAGUGUAGGCGGCUUUGCAAGUCAGAUGUGAAAGCCCGGGGCUCAACCCCGGGACUGCAUUUGAAACUGUGAAGCUGGAGUGUCGGAGAGGUAAGUGGAAUUCCUAGUGUAGCGGUGAAAUGCGUAGA
This 686-nucleotide ribosomal RNA is filed under the name uncultured bacterium. Its description in RNAcentral is "bacterial SSU rRNA". It matches the Rfam family "Bacterial small subunit ribosomal RNA", at positions 9 to 694 of the family's 1533-position model. The record is from RNAcentral.